CCGUCUUUCUUAAAGUGGGAGCCAAUGAUCAUAGCACCUGCUGGAAGGAAGUGUUCCACAUUGCUGUGCGUUACUCCAGAACCAAUAAGGACCGGUAUCUGUACAGACUGCGUUACAUCUGGAGAAAGAAAAAUCAUUAUUUGUGAUCUCUAAAGCUUGAGCUCCAGUGGCUGUUCCUGUGACGAUGACUCCAUCAGAGAGGAAGAACUUAGCUGCUUGGGCUGUCUCAGCUAUACUAACAUCUGAAAUCUGAAUGUGCUCUGCUCCGAUGUGUCUACGGUAGCGCAGCAGCUCACCAGCACAAGCAUUUAACAGGCCUUCAUCAGCAACAUGUGAAAAAACAAAGCCUUCUGCACGGAUAAAAUCCAGCCCUUUGGAGGAGGUGUUUAAGGUUAACAUUUAUAAAGCAUCACGUUAUGUUAUGUUAAUUACAGGAAGCCUUUGACAAAAGUCAGGCAUUUGCGAUUGCGCAUUCAUUCAUGUGUGAACACCUGAGGCCAGGGCAACAGCCAGCGCUGACUGAUUUGCAGCCGAGAGAAUCUGCACACCAAGCGGCCAGGAUGGACAAAGUCUUCUAACUGCAGAACACACAGCGGUCAUAGAUGAACACACCUCGGGACCCACCUCAAAGGUGUAGGGAAUAUCAUGCAUGUUUUCAAUGAUCACUCCAUCCUGUCAGAGGGUAAUAUGAAAUUAUCAAUCACACACUGAACACAUUAAAAAGAAACACAAAUGAGGAUAAAUAAGUACCAUUUCAAUCAGAUUAUAUUAAAACAGGUUAUCAAAAAGUCUAAUUCAAUGAAUAUGGUGCCCGGAAAUGGCCCUUAUGGGUAUUCUGACACACUGAUGCAAUGAAC
Molecule: long non-coding RNA, 857 nt
Organism: Triplophysa rosa
Lineage: Eukaryota; Metazoa; Chordata; Actinopteri; Cypriniformes; Nemacheilidae
Exons: 3
Source: RefSeq, a predicted model, not a curated record